GCCAGCGUAGCUCAAUUGGUAGAGCAAUUGAUUUGUAAUCAAUAGGUUGCGGGUUCAAGUCCCAUCGCUGGCU
This 73-nucleotide transfer RNA is filed under the name bacterium F16. It matches the Rfam family "tRNA". From Rfam's summary of the family: Transfer RNA (tRNA) molecules are approximately 80 nucleotides in length. The record is from Rfam by way of RNAcentral.